GUUGGUAGCGUUUUGGAAGUUUAUCGAAAUUUGCAGUGAUCAUUAUAAUUAAACUACAAAAAUGUAGUAAACCUUCUUUAAAACACUCUAAUCAAUCGAUUAGAUGUGUUUGUGGCUCAUCAGAAAUCUGAAAUUGUAUGAGUUCAGCGAAUAGAGUUUGUACCAUUUAAUGGUACUUCCGGUAAAUGUGACGAGGACAUUUUUCAGCGGUAGAAUGCGGUUCUAAGGAUGCUGUAACUCUUGCAGCAGGAUCAACGCAAGAUGGAGCCGUCAAUACGGUCAUAUACAAUUAUUCAGGUGACUGAACAUCGAUAGGUUGACUCAUGAAGCAACGGCAUAAUGAUAUUCAUCACGCGUGCAUCUAUGUCAUUUUUGAGAUUGAAUAAAGAAACUACC
Molecule: long non-coding RNA, 396 nt
Organism: Ochlerotatus camptorhynchus
Lineage: Eukaryota; Metazoa; Arthropoda; Insecta; Diptera; Culicidae
Exons: 5
Source: RefSeq, a predicted model, not a curated record